RNAcentral lists this ribosomal RNA (497 nucleotides) under uncultured Sphingobacteriaceae bacterium. RNAcentral's name for it is "partial 16S ribosomal RNA". The record is from RNAcentral. Lineage: Bacteria; Pseudomonadati; Bacteroidota; Sphingobacteriia; Sphingobacteriales; Sphingobacteriaceae.
CACGGAGUUAGCCGAUCCUUAUUCCUACGGUACACUCAGGCAGCUACUCGUAGCUGCGGUUGUUCCCGUAUAAAAGCGGUUUACGACCCGUAGGGCCUUCGUCCCGCACGCGGCAUGGCUGGUUCAGGCUUCCGCCCAUUGACCAAUAUUCCCUACUGCUGCCUCCCGUAGGAGUCUGGUCCGUGUCUCAGUACCAGUGUGGGGGAUUCUCCUCUCAGAGCCCCUAGGCAUCAUCGCCUUGGUGCGCCGUUACCGCACCAACUAGCUAAUGCCACGCGAGCCCAUCCAUGUCCUAUAAAUAUUUGGAUACCUCCCGAUGCCGGAAAUAUCUUCAUGCGGUGUUAAUCCGUCUUUCAACGGGCUAUCCCCCUGACAUGGGCAGGUUGCUCACGCGUUACGCACCCGUGCGCCACUCUCAUGUCCCUUAGCAAGCUAAGAACAAUCCCGUACGCCUUGCAUGUAUUAGGCCUGCCGCUAGCGUUCAUCCUGAGCCAGGA